This 253-nucleotide ribosomal RNA is filed under the name uncultured bacterium. RNAcentral describes it as "partial 16S ribosomal RNA". It matches the Rfam family "Bacterial small subunit ribosomal RNA", at positions 524 to 776 of the family's 1533-position model. The record is from RNAcentral.
UACAGAGGUGGCAAGCGUUGUUCGGAAUUACUGGGCGUAAAGGGCGCGUAGGCGGUCUUGUAAGUCCCGCGUGAAAUCCCCCGGCUCAACUGGGGAACUGCGUGGGAAACUGCGAGGCUUGAGUUCGGGAGAGGGAAGCGGAAUUCCGGGUGUAGCGGUGAAAUGCGUAGAUAUGCGGAGGAACACCGAUGGCGAAGGCAAUCCCCUGGGCCUGCACUGACGCUCAUGCACGAAAGCGUGGGGAGCAAACAGG